AACGAACGCUGGCGGCAGGCUUAACACAUGCAAGUCGAACGCACCUUUCGGGGUGAGUGGCCGACGGGGGAGUAACGCGUGGGAAUCUACCCUUCUCUACGGGAUAGCUCCGGGAAACUGGAAUUAAUACCGUAUACGUCCUGAGGGAGAAAGAUUUAUCGGGGAAGGAUGAGCCCGCGUUGGAUUAGCUAGUGGGUGGGGUAAAGGCCUCCCAAGGCGACGAUCCAUAGCUGGUCUAAGAGGAUGAUCAGCCACAUUGGGACUGAGACACGGCCCAAACUCCUACGGGAGGCAGCAGUGGGGAAUAUUGGACAAUGGGCGCAAGCCUGGUCCAGCCAUGCCGCGUGAGUGAUGAAGGCCCUAGGGUUGUAAAGCUCUUUCAGUGGGGACGAUAAUGACGGUACCCACAGAAGAAGCCCCGGCUAACUUCGUG
RNAcentral lists this ribosomal RNA (433 nucleotides) under uncultured bacterium. RNAcentral's name for it is "partial 16S ribosomal RNA". It matches the Rfam family "Bacterial small subunit ribosomal RNA", at positions 29 to 507 of the family's 1533-position model. The record is from RNAcentral.